AAAAUACUAAAAGUAAGAGCAUAGUUAUGUCAACUUAUGAUAAACUCAGAAGAUACUAUUUACUGUAUCAAACGCGCGGAUUAAAAUGUGACGGUUGCAAUCUUGGUCGUGACUACUAUAGUAUUGGUCAUCGCUGUUUUCGUUCUGGACUCUUCUUCCACAACGAGUGCGCCGAAUCCAGUGUAGAGAUUCACAACCUCUAUCAUCCACAACAUUCUCUCCACAUCAAAGUACUUAAACAAAAUGAAGAUGUCCAUGGAGAAUGCAAGCUAUGUAGAGGUAACUUGGCAAAAAUAUAUUACCAAUGUUCAACAUGUGAUUUUGCCAUCGAUUUAAUAUGUGCAAGAAAAAAAGUUGUGGCAACAAUUGAGGUUCCAAAGACCCAUGACCACCCUUUAUCCCUUAUUCCAAA
RNAcentral lists this small RNA (412 nucleotides) under Arabidopsis thaliana (thale cress). Its description in RNAcentral is "ATSL218180". The record is from RNAcentral. Lineage: Eukaryota; Viridiplantae; Streptophyta; Magnoliopsida; Brassicales; Brassicaceae.